AUAUGCAGUCUUUCCCAUUUCCAGCUCCCACAGCCAUGUCACAAUUUGUGGUUUGCAAAAUUAGAAACCAAUGAAGUAUGCUGGCAUAGAAGGAGUCCUCAGGAGAAAAAAUCCAGCAAUAAAAAGGCUGGUAAUUGCUGCAGAACAAGGAACUGAUGGAUAGCUCAGCAAGCUGGUUGCAGGUAGGUAGGCAAAGUGACUCAUGAAGUAGGCUAUAUAAAGGGAUGAGUAAUCAAUGAAAACAGAAUGAAGGAACAAAUUGUCUCAUAUGGGAAAGGCAGCUGCAUCUGGAGAUCACCUCUCCAUGAAGGGGGGAAAAAAAAGAAAAAAAAAAAAAAAAGUAGAAACAGAAAAGGAACAGAAAAGUUGUUGAAGUGGAAUAGAGAAGGGUAAAUGAAGAAAGCAUCAGAGCAGCAACACCCAGAAGCCAACAUCCGUCCUAGCACCAGCAGCAAAUGGUCAUGGUCAUGGGCUGAGAAGGGGGCACUCAGUUCCUAAGGAUACUCUGACCUAUCUUCCACAUCCACACCAGUGAGCAAACACAGGGGAAAGAGGCAGAGAGUCAGCCGCAGAUUGUAGCUGGGGGUGCAUCUGUCGUGGGCCUGAGGAUAACGCUGAUCAGGCAGGGCAGAUUUAGCAGUGAAGGGGAAUGUGACAUAUUUUAGAGCAGAAACAGUAUCAUGGUGUUCGGCUGCUGCAGCAUUCACAGCCGUGUGGUCAGGGCUUGGUCAGUAUCAGGGCAUCCUCUGGGUCUCCAGCAAAGCAGCCGUGUACUGACACCACGGUGAGCCAGAAUGUCUGUGUGGAUCCAGGAGAGCGGGGCUGGCUGUUCUCCAGCACAAGACACCACAUGCUCCAUUUGUCUGGUCCAGGUAGGCCAGCACCUGCCCCAGCUCUGAGGCACUGUGGUCCAGAGAGAUCCAUGUUGGUACACAGGUACAGAGCUCUUCUAAGUGUGUUACCUCCUGGAGACAGCUUAAAGAAAUGCAUGAGACUGUAAAGCAUGAGUGUUAGCAGAGGAAAGCAAUGUUCAGCUACCAUCU
This 1043-nucleotide long non-coding RNA is filed under the name Coturnix japonica (Japanese quail). Its description in RNAcentral is "lncRNA (ENSCJPG00005008067.1)". The record is from RNAcentral. Lineage: Eukaryota; Metazoa; Chordata; Aves; Galliformes; Phasianidae.